GAUGUUUUGGGGAAAGAAGCCUCCUUGCCUCUCCAAAAAACCACAUAAAGCCAUCGGGGCCAUUUUCCUAGGUGACUGUAGGAGAAAUAUCAAGAUAAAGUGAUGUGCAACCAGCAGGGGAGAAUCCAGGUGAAAGUGGUGAAGAACAUGGGAACCUCUCUCCCAGGUGAAAAGAAUUUCCUGGCCUGGGGAAAGAAGGAAGAGAAAGAGAUCUGUAGGUCCUGGGAGCAGAGAGGACCUCUAUGCUCCUUUCGGCAAUGCCCUGAAUAUGAUCAGUAAUAGUAACAACAAUGACAAUAGCAACAGCAAUGAUAAUGAGAGCAGCUGACUGCUACUGAACACUGACUAUAUGAAAAUCUGAAGCUUAGGAAAUGGAAGAACAUCUGCCGGAGGUCACACAGAUAUGGCACGUUCAUGAUGUGAAUCCAAGUGAUGCCGAAGUCAGCCUUCUUAAUCAUUCACAAUUCUGCCCCUCUUCAGUGAGGCCUCCAAGACCAGCUGCCUGGGGAACUCAGGCAGAGAAAGCUAUCUGCAGCCAGCAAAGGGUGCUAACAAACUGUAAUGACAGUCACUGCAGAAUUUAUCAAGAAAACAAUGGUGAUGACCAGAAAGAGGAAAUCCAUUCUCGGUAGAGGAAUGAUGCCGGAGAGAACGGCAACAAACGGGCUCAGCAGGAGAAGGCCUUACCACUGUCAAGGGCCAGAAAUCCAAUCACUGUCACCUGAGAGGAAAAUUAGCCAAAGAAUCAAGACUCCUCCUAGCAUUGAAGCAAUGUAACGUAAAUCAGAGCUGUUGUCGGUGUGUGUGAUGAUACAGCGACCCAGUUAGCACGCUGCCCUUCUUAGUCACUUCCUCUUCCUCCACCUCUUUCUGGUUCCUGAGCUUGGGUCCUGUGAGCUCUCUAAUUCUGUAGUCCCAUUCAUCUCAAGUAGAAUUUUUUUCUAUUGGAUAACUACCAAUGUUUACAGCUUUUAUUUGAAUUCAUGGAGAACGAUUAUGUCAGUAACCCAAAGUACCUGCCUAAACUUACAAGUCUGAACUAAAACUGUAAAGCAUUUGAGGAAAAGCACAGUUCUCAGGCUCAUUCCUUCGUUCACUCACAGACCAUCCAGUCUCCAUCUAUUGUUUACUAUAUGUUGGGCUCUGCUCUAGGCGCUGGAUUCGCAGAUUCGCUGGGAAGACAGACAUGUGAAUAAAUUCUCUGUGCAAUAUUACGGGCGCUAGAACACAGGCCUUCUACAGGUCCAAGAGCACAGAAGGGGGAAGGUAAUACAGAAAAGAGGGGAGGACGUUUGAGCUGGAUCUGGAGGAGGAUAAUGAGUUUAUCAACUGGCUCAGGGAGAAAAAGCCACCUUGGGAAAAAGAACAGCAUUUUCAAAAACCUAGUAUCAUGAAAGAGCAUUGUGUAUUUACGGAUUGGGAAGUGAUUCCAUGUAUUAGGGUGGAGUGUGGGAAGAGAAG
RNAcentral lists this long non-coding RNA (1461 nucleotides) under Equus asinus (donkey). RNAcentral describes it as "lncRNA (ENSEASG00005029362.1)". Lineage: Eukaryota; Metazoa; Chordata; Mammalia; Perissodactyla; Equidae. The record is from RNAcentral.